RNAcentral lists this long non-coding RNA (256 nucleotides) under Daucus carota (carrot). Its description in RNAcentral is "long non-coding RNA (DCAR_LNC007314)". Lineage: Eukaryota; Viridiplantae; Streptophyta; Magnoliopsida; Apiales; Apiaceae. The record is from RNAcentral.
AAUUGUACUAGAAAUAUAAAUUUCUUGGUGACUUUUCAUUAUCCUUGAUUACUGGAGAAUUACUUGACUUUAAAAAAAAAAAGAAAAAAAAGAGCUUGUGAAGUCUGUUGGUGGUCGUAACUCACUUACCCUGAGGAGCGUCCCGACCUUAGACCAGGCAUGUGGAAAAAAAAAAGAAUAAAAAAUUAUAUAUAGUAGUAUUAUAGAAAUAAAAAGAAGACGUGGAAAUCCCUUGUAAACUUGAAUGAUAGCUAGU